This is a long non-coding RNA of Pan troglodytes (chimpanzee), 211 nucleotides long. RefSeq lists it as uncharacterized. NCBI's taxonomy places the organism in Eukaryota, Metazoa, Chordata, Mammalia, Primates, Hominidae. The transcript is spliced from 3 exons. The record is from RefSeq and is a predicted model, not a curated record.
GAUAAGGAAACUGAGACCCAGGGAGAAGAAGGGAUUGCCCAAGGUCCAAGUAUGUGCUCUGCAGAACCAAGGCACAGAAGCCAGGAUCUGAACUGACUGCUCAGGUGGUCAAGAACUAUAACCUCCAUGGACAAAGAAAUGGAAAAGAAUGAAGCUGCGUAAAUACAACUAUAUUAACUCCCUGGAAAACCUCCUGCCAUUUUAACUCUGU